UACGAGAGGCCCAAACGUUAUUCGGAAUUACUGGGCUUAAAGAGUUCGUAGGCGGCGCAGAAAGUCGGGUGUGAAAGCCCUCGGCUUAACCGAGGAAUUGCGCCCUAAACUACUGUGCUUGAGGAACCUAGAGGUGAGCAGAACAGAUGGUGGAGCGGUGAAAUGCGUUGAUAUCAUCUGGAAUACCGGAGGCGAAGGCGGCUCACUGGGGGUUUUCUGACGCUGAGGAACGAAAGCCAGGGUAGCGAACGGG
RNAcentral lists this ribosomal RNA (253 nucleotides) under uncultured bacterium. Its description in RNAcentral is "partial 16S ribosomal RNA". It matches the Rfam family "Bacterial small subunit ribosomal RNA", at positions 524 to 776 of the family's 1533-position model. The record is from RNAcentral.